Molecule: transfer RNA, 77 nt
Filed under: Pseudonocardia autotrophica
Lineage: Bacteria; Bacillati; Actinomycetota; Actinomycetes; Pseudonocardiales; Pseudonocardiaceae
Description: tRNA-Arg
Source: RNAcentral
CCACCGCUCCGGAGGCCCCGGCCGUUCCGGGCGCUCCGGCCGCUCCGGUGGCGCAGGUCGCCCCCGCGGCGGCGGCC